RNAcentral lists this non-coding RNA (847 nucleotides) under Thermoactinomyces vulgaris. RNAcentral describes it as "bacterial SSU rRNA". It matches the Rfam family "Bacterial small subunit ribosomal RNA", at positions 10 to 858 of the family's 1533-position model. The record is from RNAcentral. Lineage: Bacteria; Bacillati; Bacillota; Bacilli; Caryophanales; Thermoactinomycetaceae.
AGUUUGAUCCUGGCUCAGGACGAACGCUGGCGGCGUGCUUCACACAUGCAAGUCGAACGGAAAGGCCCGCUUGCGGGUACUCGAGUGGCGAACGGGUGAGUAACACGUGGGUAACCUGCCCCCAUCUCUGGGAUAACCGUUGGAAACGGCGGCUAAUACCGGAUACGACCACCUUCCGCAUGGUUGGUGGUGGAAAGUUUUUGCGGUUGGGGAGGGGCCCGCGGCCUAUCAGCUUGUUGGUGCGGUAGUGGCGCACCAAGGCUUUGACGGGUAGCCGGCCUGAGAGGGCGGUCGGUCACAUUGGGACUGAGAUACGGCCCAGACUCCUACGGGAGGCAGCAGUGGGGAAUUUUGCACAAUGGGCGAAAGCCUGAUGCAGCGACGCCGCGUGAGGGAUGACGGCUUUCGGGUUGUAAACCUCUUUUAUCCACCACGAAGGCUCCGUAUUCGCGGGGUUGACGGUAGUGGUUGAAUAAGCGCCGGCUAACUACGUGCCAGCAGCCGCGGUAAGACGUAGGGCGCGAGCGUUGUCCGGAUUUAUUGGGCGUAAAGGGCUCGUAGGCGGUUGAUUGCGUCCGCCGUGAAAGGCCUCGGCUUAACCGGGGUUUUGCGGUGGAUACGGGUCGACUUGAGGCAAUUAGGGGAGAUCGGAAUUCUACGUGUAGCGGUGAAAUGCGCAGAUAUGUGGAGGAACACCGGUGGCGAAGGCGGAUCUCUGGGAUUGUUCUGACGCUGAGGAGCGAAAGCGUGGGGAGCGAACAGGAUUAGAUACCCUGGUAGUCCAUGCUGUAAACGGUGGGCGCUAGGUGUGGGGUCACGUUGGUUGAUUCUGUGCCGUAGCUAACGC